Molecule: unclassified non-coding RNA, 229 nt
Filed under: plant metagenome
Description: partial contains small subunit ribosomal RNA, internal transcribed spacer 1, and 5.8S ribosomal RNA
Source: RNAcentral
CCUCCGUAGGUGAACCUGCGGAGGGAUCAUUACAGAGUUCAUGCCCUACCGGGUAGAUCUCCCACCCUAUGUUAUUAUUACUUUGUUGCUUUGGCGGGCCGUUAGGCUCCGGCCCGACUACCGGCCCCGGCUGGUAGGCGCCCGCCAGAGGACCCAAAACCCUGAAUAUUAGUGUCGUCUGAGUACUAUAUAAUAGUUAAAACUUUCAACAACGGAUCUCUUGGUUCUG